Molecule: small RNA, 405 nt
Filed under: Histoplasma ohiense
Lineage: Eukaryota; Fungi; Ascomycota; Eurotiomycetes; Onygenales; Ajellomycetaceae
Description: hypothetical lncRNA
Source: RNAcentral
AUCAAUCAGCCAAAGAACGCCGAGGAUUAAGUUGUUUUUCAUUUGUUGUUUUUCAUUAACCAUGGGUGUGACAUGGCUUUGUAGGUAUGAGCACGUAUCUUAAAAAGCCCACUUGGCCCUUAAUUUUGAUCAAGAAGCAAAUAUGUAUCACAGGAAGCGGGAGUCUCAGUGAUCGAAAGUCUCAAUGAACAGUUUGAUUUACUAUGUAGAGGGUGGCCCUCAUUUUAGGCUUUGAUUCACGCAGAAAGAAGAAGGAUCUAUGUGAAGCCUCCUGAUGAUUGUGCUCCUGAAAUUAGUCUACUCUGCAGAUAGUGGCGUCCAUGGCAGCAACAGGCUGACAGCAUGAUGUAGCCGAACGAGACCAUGUUGACAGUAGAGAAAAAACUACGUUAUCCUUUAAUUUUC